GAUGAACGCUGGCGGCGUGCCUAAUACAUGCAAGUCGAGCGAACAGACGAGGUGCUUGCUCCACUGACGUUAGCGGCGAACGGGUGAGUAACACGUGGAGAACCUACCUAUAAGACUGGGAUAACUUCGGGAAACCGAUGCUAAUACCGCAUAAAAUCUUUAAACGCAAGUUUCAAUAGUGAAAGACGCUAUUGCUGUCCCUUAUGGAUAUAUCCGCGCCGCAUAAGCUAGUUGGUAAGGUAACGGCUAACAAAGGCAACGAUCAGUAGCGAACCUGAGAGGGUGAUCGGCCACACUGGAACUGAGACACGGUCCAGACUCCUACGGGAGGAAGCAGUAGGGAAUCUUCCGCAAUGGGCGAAAGCCUGACGGAGCAACGCCGCGUGAGUGAUGAAGGUCUUCGGAUCGUAAAACUCUGUUAUUAGGGAAGAACAAAUGUGUAAGUAACUAUGCACGUCUUGACGGUACCUAAUCAGAAAGCCACGGCUAACUACGUG
This 497-nucleotide ribosomal RNA is filed under the name uncultured bacterium. RNAcentral describes it as "partial 16S ribosomal RNA". It matches the Rfam family "Bacterial small subunit ribosomal RNA", at positions 28 to 507 of the family's 1533-position model. The record is from RNAcentral.